AGAGUUUGAUCAUGGCUCAGGACGAACGCUGGCGGCGUGCUUAACACAUGCAAGUGGAGCGACGAACCGGGCUUCGGCCCGGGGCAAAGCCGCGAACGGGUGAGUAUCACGUGGGUAACCUGCCCCGAUGACCGGGACAACCCGAGGAAACUCGGGCUAAUACCGGAUGUGUUCUCCGCACAUCAGUGCGAAGAGCAAAGGAAGCUUCGGCCUCCGCAUUGGGAUGGGCCCGCGGCCCAUUAGCUUGUUGGUGAGGUAAAAGCUCACCAAGGCGACGAUGGGUAGCUGGUCUGAGAGGACGAUCAGCCACACUGGGACUGAGACACGGCCCAGACUCCUACGGGAGGCAGCAGUGGGGAAUCUUGCGCAAUGCGCGAAAGCGUGACGCAGCAACGCCGCGUGAGGGAAGAAGGCCUUCGGGUUGUAAACCUCUUUCAGGAGGGACGAAGGUUCAGGCGCGAAUAGCGUCCUGGACUGACGGUACCUCCAGAAGAAGCCCGGCUAACUACGUGCCAGCAGCCGCGGUA
Molecule: ribosomal RNA, 527 nt
Filed under: uncultured Actinomycetes bacterium
Lineage: Bacteria; Bacillati; Actinomycetota; Actinomycetes
Description: bacterial SSU rRNA
Rfam family: Bacterial small subunit ribosomal RNA
Source: RNAcentral